This 616-nucleotide ribosomal RNA is filed under the name bacterium PE03-7A4. RNAcentral describes it as "bacterial SSU rRNA". It matches the Rfam family "Bacterial small subunit ribosomal RNA", at positions 255 to 881 of the family's 1533-position model. The record is from RNAcentral.
GGGUAAUGGCCUACCAAGGCGACGACGGGUAGCCGGCCUGAGAGGGUGACCGGCCACACUGGGACUGAGACACGGCCCAGACUCCUACGGGAGGCAGCAGUGGGGAAUAUUGCACAAUGGGCGCAAGCCUGAUGCAGCGACGCCGCGUGAGGGAUGACGGCCUUCGGGUUGUAAACCUCUUUCAGUAGGGAAGAAGCGUAAGUGACGGUACCUGCAGAAGAAGCGCCGGCUAACUACGUGCCAGCAGCCGCGGUAAUACGUAGGGCGCAAGCGUUAUCCGGAAUUAUUGGGCGUAAAGAGCUCGUAGGCGGUUUGUCGCGUCUGCCGUGAAAGUCCGGGGCUCAACUCCGGAUCUGCGGUGGGUACGGGCAGACUAGAGUGAUGUAGGGGAGACUGGAAUUCCUGGUGUAGCGGUGAAAUGCGCAGAUAUCAGGAGGAACACCGAUGGCGAAGGCAGGUCUCUGGGCAUUAACUGACGCUGAGGAGCGAAAGCAUGGGGAGCGAACAGGAUUAGAUACCCUGGUAGUCCAUGCCGUAAACGUUGGGCACUAGGUGUGGGGGACAUUCCACGUUUUCCGCGCCGUAGCUAACGCAUUAAGUGCCCCGCCUGGGGAGU